RNAcentral lists this ribosomal RNA (305 nucleotides) under uncultured bacterium. Its description in RNAcentral is "partial 16S ribosomal RNA". It matches the Rfam family "Bacterial small subunit ribosomal RNA", at positions 506 to 807 of the family's 1533-position model. The record is from RNAcentral.
ACAGCAGUAGCCGCGGUAAUACGUAGGUGGCAAGCGUUGUCCGGAAUUAUUGGGCGUAAAGGGCUCGCAGGCGGUUUCUUAAGUCUGAUGUGAAAGCUCCCGGCUCAACCGGGGAGGGUCAUUGGAAACUGGGAAACUUGAGUGCAGAAGAGGAGAGUGGAAUUCCGCGUGUAGCGGUGAAAUGCGUAGAGAUGUGGAGGAACACCAGUGGCGAAGGCGACUCUCUGGUCUGUAACUGACGCUGAGGAGCGAAAGCGUGGGGAGCGAACAGGAUUAGAUACCCCUGUAGUCCCUGUCUCUUAUAC